UACGAAGGGGGCUAGCGUUGUUCGGAAUCACUGGGCGUAAAGCGCACGUAGGCGGAUUGUUAAGUCGGUCGUGAAAUCCCUCGGCUCAACCGAGGAACGUCGAUCGAUACUGCUGUUCUUGAGGAUUGCAGAGGAGACUGGAAUUCCCGGUGUAGCGGUGAAAUGUGUAGAGAUCGGGAGGAACACCGGUGGCGAAGGCGGGUCUCUGGGCAAUUCCUGACGCUGAGGCGCGAAAGCGUGGGGAGCAAACGGG
Molecule: ribosomal RNA, 253 nt
Filed under: uncultured bacterium
Lineage: Bacteria
Description: partial 16S ribosomal RNA
Rfam family: Bacterial small subunit ribosomal RNA
Source: RNAcentral